This 97-nucleotide transfer RNA is filed under the name Ustilaginoidea virens. It matches the Rfam family "tRNA". Rfam says of the family: Transfer RNA (tRNA) molecules are approximately 80 nucleotides in length. Their secondary structure includes four short double-helical elements and three loops (D, anti-codon, and T loops). The record is from Rfam by way of RNAcentral. Lineage: Eukaryota; Fungi; Ascomycota; Sordariomycetes; Hypocreales; Clavicipitaceae.
ACCAAGAUGGCCGAGUGGUUAAGGCGAUGGACUUAAGUGCUUAUUACUUAGCAUUCCAUUAUCGUAAGAUGCCUGGGUUCGAACCCCAGUCUUGGUA